This is a long non-coding RNA of Suricata suricatta (meerkat), 189 nucleotides long. RefSeq lists it as uncharacterized. NCBI's taxonomy places the organism in Eukaryota, Metazoa, Chordata, Mammalia, Carnivora, Herpestidae. The transcript is spliced from 2 exons. The record is from RefSeq and is a predicted model, not a curated record.
GAUCCCAAGCUAUAUGUGACAUCUUCACUCAAGCAGUGAAAUUAUGUGACACUGACGUGAGGAUGGAUUCUCUUCCCCAUGCUGUUGAACGUCUUGGCCAUCCUCCCUCUUAAGCAAAAGCAUACACACUAUCCAAAACAGCUUCAGUAAAAAAUUUUGUCUCAAAUAAAGGUGAUAAAAUUUAACAGA